RNAcentral lists this unclassified non-coding RNA (336 nucleotides) under uncultured Hypocreales. RNAcentral describes it as "sequence contains ITS1". The stretch from base 1 to 106 matches the Rfam family "5.8S ribosomal RNA", at positions 50 to 154 of the family's 154-position model. Lineage: Eukaryota; Fungi; Ascomycota; Sordariomycetes; Hypocreales. The record is from RNAcentral.
GAAAUGCGAUACGUAAUGCGAAUUGCAGAUCUACCGUGAGUCAUCGAAUCUUUGAACGCACAUAGCGCCCGCCAGCACUCUGGCGGGCAUGCCCGUCCGAGCGUCGAUCACACCGCUCGAGCCCCAUGGCUCGGUGUUGGGACGCUAGAGGCCAACGGCCCCUAGGUCCCCAAAGGUAUCGCGCGGCCCCAGGCCCAGGACCCGAGCACAGUAAACACGCCGUUGAGCUGCUCCGGGACCCUGGGCUGAGGCGCUGGCCGUAAAACCCCCGACAUAGGCCCCUGCGGGCCGACUGAUGUUGACCUCGGAUCGGGUAGGACGACCCGCUGAACUUAA